CCUACGGGGGGCAGCAGUGGGGAAUAUUGGACAAUGGGGGGAACCCUGAUCCAGCCAUGCCGCGUGUGUGAAGAAGGCCCUCGGGUUGUAAAGCACUUUCAGUGAGGAAGAACGCCUGGUGGUUAAUACCCAUCAGGAAAGACAUCACUCACAGAAGAAGCACCGGCUAACUCCGUGCCAGCAGCCGCGGUAAUACGGAGGGUGCGAGCGUUAAUCGGAAUUACUGGGCGUAAAGCGCGCGUAGGUGGCUUGAUAAGCCGGUUGUGAAAGCCCCGGGCUCAACCUGGGAACGGCAUCCGGAACUGUCAAGCUAGAGUGCAGGAGAGGAAGGUAGAAUUCCCGGUGUAGCGGUGAAAUGCGUAGAGAUCGGGAGGAAUACCAGUGGCGAAGGCGGCCUUCUGGACUGACACUGACACUGAGGUGCGAAAGCGUGGGUAGCAAACAGGAUUAGAUACCUCUGUAGUC
RNAcentral lists this ribosomal RNA (465 nucleotides) under Vreelandella stevensii. Its description in RNAcentral is "partial 16S ribosomal RNA". It matches the Rfam family "Bacterial small subunit ribosomal RNA", at positions 338 to 795 of the family's 1533-position model. Lineage: Bacteria; Pseudomonadati; Pseudomonadota; Gammaproteobacteria; Oceanospirillales; Halomonadaceae. The record is from RNAcentral.